UACGUAGGGAGCGAGCGUUAUCCGGAUUUAUUGGGUGUAAAGGGUGCGUAGACGGGAAGUCAAGUUAGUUGUGAAAUCCCUCGGCUUAACUGAGGAACUGCAACUAAAACUGAUUUUCUUGAGUACUGGAGAGGAAAGUGGAAUUCCUAGUGUAGCGGUGAAAUGCGUAGAUAUUAGGAGGAACACCGGUGGCGAAGGCGACUUUCUGGACAGAAACUGACGUUGAGGCACGAAAGUGUGGGGAGCAAACAGGAUUAGAUACCCUGGUAGUCCACACCGUAAACGAUGGAUACUAGGUGUAGGGGAUAUUAAAAUUCUCUGUGCCGCCGCUAACGCAAUAAGUAUCCCACCUGGGGAGUACGGCCGCAAGGUUGAA
Molecule: ribosomal RNA, 376 nt
Filed under: uncultured bacterium
Lineage: Bacteria
Description: bacterial SSU rRNA
Rfam family: Bacterial small subunit ribosomal RNA
Source: RNAcentral